UGGGGAAUUUUGCGCAAUGGGCGGAAGCCUGACGCAGUAACGCCGCGUGGAGGAUGAAGGCCUUCGGGUUGUAAACUCCUGUCAGAGGGAACGACGGGGAUGGGGUGAUAAGCUCUUUCCUCCAGACGGUACCCUCAAAGGAAGCCCCGGCUAAUUCCGUGCCAGCAGCCGCGGUAAUACGGAAGGGGCAAGCGUUGUUCGGAAUCAUUGGGCGUAAAGGGCGUGUAGGUGGUUCUGUAUGUCUACCGUGAAAGCGUACGGCUCAACCGUAUUUAGUCGGUAGAAACUGCAGGACUUGAGGCUGGGAGGGGCUGGUGGAAUUCCCCGUGUAGCGGUGAAAUGCGUAGAGAUGGGGGAGAACACUCGUGGCGAAGGCGGCCAGCUAGACCAGUUCUGACACUGAGGCGCGAUAGCGUGGGGAGCAAACAG
This 429-nucleotide ribosomal RNA is filed under the name uncultured bacterium. RNAcentral describes it as "bacterial SSU rRNA". It matches the Rfam family "Bacterial small subunit ribosomal RNA", at positions 355 to 775 of the family's 1533-position model. The record is from RNAcentral.